Girardinichthys multiradiatus is the source of this 1395-nucleotide long non-coding RNA. RefSeq lists it as uncharacterized. Lineage: Eukaryota; Metazoa; Chordata; Actinopteri; Cyprinodontiformes; Goodeidae. The transcript has 3 exons. The record is from RefSeq and is a predicted model, not a curated record.
CUAGAAUCAACACAGAGGAAGUAAACAGUGAUUUCUAGAGGAGUUGACAGUUUCUCUGCAUUAUUCUACAUAUAUCUGAAGCUAAGAGAUCAGGACGCGCUGCUGCUAGAUUAGUAUCACAGAUUAAAAGGAUCUCGCAGAGUUUUUAAUAUUUUAUUUAUGGGUUAAAAUUCUGUUUGAGAUCCGGAUGAACACCAAAGAAAGGACACAAUGCCUGCUGCUGUGUUUUUAUACCUUUUACUGCUGAAAACCGUCUUCUGCUCUUCUGCAUCUAAAGGUCAGAGGAUCUUCACAGUAGAACCUGGACAGAACAUCCUUCUGCCAUGCCGAGCUCCUGACAACAGACCUGUCAUCGCUGUAGAGUGGAGCAGAGCAGAUCUGGACCCAGAAUAUGUGUUUCUGUACAGAGACGAGCAAGUUGUUCCCUUCUACCAGCAUCCAUCUUUUAGGAACCGGGUGGAUCUGCAGGACAGGAAGAUGAAGGAUGGAGACGUGUCUUUGGUUCUGAAGAACGUGAGGACUGAUGACUGAGGAACAUAUGAGUGCAGAGUUUUCCAGACAGGAAAUAAAAUCAGGAAGAGAGCUAAUCUGGAUUCUGAUCCCAUCAGCAUCAUCAUCUUGGAUGUAGCUCCUUCUCCUCCUCCAGGUGUCUCUAGAGGCAGGUGGAACAAGGUUUCAAGAAACAAGGCCGGAUCUGUCGGACCUACAGUUAGUCUUCUAAUGUUAGUUUUGCAUCUGUGGGUUUGGUGAUAUAUAAAAAAAAAAGACUUUUUCAAGUCAGAAGACCCAGAUGUUCCUGCUGAACCUUCAGCUGGGAAGUAGACAUUGAUGUCUACGACCUCUGACCAGAGGUCAGGACCCCUGAGUGUCCUGAAUCAGUUGAUGGUUCUGUGAAACUGCUUCAUCCAAAACAAGAACAAGAAACGAUAAGAAAAGCCCGUCCUGAGGACCUAAGAGGAGAUGGUUGUACCAGAUUUAGCAUAGCAGUCUGGUUACCACGGAAACGGUCCAUACUGAAGCAGAGCGACAUCCUCUGUCCUUAUUUCGCUGUAAACUGACUUUUAACGGCUGCUGUCCUUUGAGAUCUCAUGGAAACCAGGAGGAGCCGUUUUACUCGCUGAAACGUUUGACCUCACAGAGAAUCUUCUGAACAUUUUCUAAUGAUGACGGUCAUCUUAUUUAAUAUGUUUGGAGCUUCUGCUUAUUAUAUUUCUAUGAAACAUCAGAGAUCUAGAACCAAAGGAAGCAGUCCCAAGCAAACCCCACUGACUCGCAGUUCUGUCUGAACCAACCUGCUGCAGAUGUGACCCAGAUGCUACCAAACAACAUGGAGUCAUGUUUACAAAUAUGGAUUCAAACAAAUGAUAAAGUUAUGAAAUAAAACUGUUUGUCAUG